ACAAUACUCCACACCACAACCUUAAGUCUCCUAACCUCCACCUCUCUCUGAAAAGAUCUAAUUUCAUGUCCAUCAACCCCCUCUAGUAUGAGGCCUGACCUGAAGAGAUGACGAGAAUCCUAUCUUUUUAGCUUUUCCUGUUCACGACUCCGAUCUUCUUUCAAUCUAAUCUCGACCCGUCUCUCUCCCUAGCCUCCACCUCUCUCAGUCUCUCUAAUCUGAUCAAUUUGAUCAUGUUUUACAACAACGAUAGGUUAUUGAGGAGGGUAAUCACAUACCUGAAGAGGGAGAGACGCCUCUGUGGAAACUUGAGAGAUAUUGGAGACUGCAGAGGAAAUUGAUGGAGAGAUGGCCCAUCUGAUCUGCCGAGGUAAUGAUGAAUCUUCUAAGCUAGCCGCAAUCCUCACAUUCAGGUGAAGGCUUGGUGUAUCUAACUCCAAAAGAAGCUUUUGUAUGUAUCAUUGGUGAAAGGUCAGGACAUGCUAGGGGGCUUGGAUGUGGUCUUAGGGGUGCUAUAACUAGGCGGAACCAUUUGCAAGAGCUAAUUGAACAAAUGUUUAAAAAGUAAUGAAUUUGCGGUCACAAAAUUGGAAGAGACUUUUGAUGCCCGUGUUCAAGCUGCAUUAACGAUGGCUGAAUCUCGUGUUGAAGCAUGUUUUGAAUCUCGUGUUAACGCAGCAGUUCAGGCCACUUUAGUAAAGUUUAUGGUACAUCAACAACAAUCUUGAGGACGUACUUAUGAUGAUAGUUCAGCCUAAUAUAAUACCAUGAGUAAUUUUUUGAAAAAUGAAAGAGCUUCAAGGAUUCUUUGAGGUUUUGCGAAUCCCUGCGUCCCCGCACCCGCAUCCCGUAUACGAGUCGGUGCUUCCUAGCUUGAAUCUUGUGCAUCCAACUCAGCAGUUGGGAUAAUUGUACUUGCUUAGUUGCUCGCAGGAUUUGACAUACUAUCAUCAAGGUUGAGCAAUCUGGAGCUGCUUGACUUUGACUUUAACGAUUUCCAUAACAGCAUCCUGUCAUCUCUGAAUGGUCUUUCUUCCUUAAAAUUUGUAUAUCUGAAUUACAAUCAAUUGAAGGGAACAAUUCGUAGCCAUGAGCUACACGAUCUAAACAACUUGGAGGAGUUACAUAUAAGCGGGAAUAAGAUUGAAGGCUUUGCAUCUCUUCAAGGCAAAAGAACUUUGAACAAGUUAAAAGUUCUUGAUCUAGGAGGCCAACAGAUCAAUACAAGUAUUCAACUGUAAUCAUUAGGAUCACUCCCAAACCUCAGGACACUUAUUCUUACAAAUAACUACUUAAAUGGAACAACAACCACUCAAGAGUUGGGAAACUUGAGCGUGGUGGAAUAUUUGGACCUGGCUGAUUCUAGUCUGCGUACAGACUUUCUCCAAAGCAUUGGAUCAUUGACUUACCUUAGAGUUCUAAGUUUGGAAAAUUGUGGACUCAAGGGUAUCCUACCUAAUCAAGGCUGGUGCAAAUUGAAGAACUUGCAAGUGCUUCGUCUCAAUUCAAAUGAACUUGAAGGGACACUCCCACCAUGUUUAGGAAACUUGUCAUCUCUUCAAGAUAUGGAUAUCUAUUCCAAUCAAUUCAUUGGAAAUAUUGCCUCCACUUCCAUAUCCAAUCACAUUGAAGUCCCAAUAUCAUUAAAGCCAAUGGCAAAUCUGUCAAAUCUUUGGAAUUUCCUAGCUGAUAACAUUGUUCAAGUUCUUGAUAGCCAAUUCUGGAUUCCAAGAUUUCAACUACAGUCACUGAUUUUGGGGAGUUCUCUUUUCAAGAAUUCGAAACAACAUCUUC
Long non-coding RNA from Tripterygium wilfordii, 1794 nucleotides. RefSeq lists it as uncharacterized. The record is from RefSeq and is a predicted model, not a curated record. The transcript has 9 exons. NCBI's taxonomy places the organism in Eukaryota, Viridiplantae, Streptophyta, Magnoliopsida, Celastrales, Celastraceae.